This is a long non-coding RNA of Austrofundulus limnaeus, 373 nucleotides long. RefSeq lists it as uncharacterized. The transcript has 2 exons. Lineage: Eukaryota; Metazoa; Chordata; Actinopteri; Cyprinodontiformes; Rivulidae. The record is from RefSeq and is a predicted model, not a curated record.
CUUUGCCUCAUUUUGAUUCUCCUGUGUUCCUACAAAAUGUUUGACUGAGGUGUGGUGCUCGAAGACACGCCCACGCCACGGAGGAGGGGAAGCAGAGCUCAGUGCUGAGGACCGGUGARGGUGGUGUGGUUGACCUGGAUGGCGGUGUCCCCCCUUUUUUUGUGUGCAUGCUUGCGGUGAUCAGCACAGGUGGAGGGAAACUCAAGGAGUGUGGUUUCACGUGUGUUUGUUGUAGUUUCUUUUUGGGAGGCACUCAUCCAGAACAGGUCUGUUGGCACCUACCGGUAAGCCUCAGUAGCUGAGCAUUAGUAGUUUGUUUUUAAUCAGUCUUUCACAUUUUGUGUUUAAUAAAACAACUUUCUGUACUUGAAAA